Molecule: ribosomal RNA, 253 nt
Filed under: uncultured bacterium
Lineage: Bacteria
Description: partial 16S ribosomal RNA
Rfam family: Bacterial small subunit ribosomal RNA
Source: RNAcentral
UACAGAGGGGGCAAGCGUUGUUCGGAAUUACUGGGCGUAAAGGGCGCGUAGGCGGUCCGAUAAGUCCCGUGUGAAAGCCCCCGGCUCAACUGGGGAACUGCACGGGAAACUGACGGACUUGAGUUCGGGAGAGGGAAGCGGAAUUCCGGGUGUAGCGGUGAAAUGCGUAGAUAUCCGGAGGAACACCAGUGGCGAAGGCGGCUUCCUGGACCGAUACUGACGCUGAGGCGCGAAAGCUAGGGGAGCAAACGGG